GACGGCGCGAGCAGGUGCGAAAGCAGGUCAUAGUGAUCCGGUGGUUCUGAAUGGAAGGGCCAUCGCUCAACGGAUAAAAGGUACUCCGGGGAUAACAGGCUGAUACCGCCCAAGAGUUCAUAUCGACGGCGGUGUUUGGCACCUCGAUGUCGGCUCAUCACAUCCUGGGGCUGAAGUAGGUCCCAAGGGUAUGGCUGUUCGCCAUUUAAAGUGGUACGCGAGCUGGGUUUAGAACGUCGUGAGACAGUUCGGUCCCUAUCUGCCGUGGGCGCUGGAAGAUUGAGGGGGGCUGCUCCUAGUACGAGAGGACCGGAGUGGACGCAUCACUGGUGUUCGGGUUGUCAUGCCAAUGGCACUGCCCGGUAGCUAAAUGCGGAAGAGAUAAGUGCUGAAAGCAUCUAAGCACGAAACUUGCCCCGAGAUGAAUCUUCCCUGAGACUUUGAGUCUCCUGAAGGAACGUUGAAGACGACGACGUUGAUAGGCCGGGUGUGUAAGCGCAGCGAUGCGUUGAGCUAACCGGUACUAAUGAACCGUGAGGCUUAACCUUACAACGCCGAAG
This 560-nucleotide ribosomal RNA is filed under the name Salmonella enterica. RNAcentral's name for it is "partial 23S ribosomal RNA". It matches the Rfam family "Bacterial large subunit ribosomal RNA", at positions 2383 to 2925 of the family's 2925-position model. Lineage: Bacteria; Pseudomonadati; Pseudomonadota; Gammaproteobacteria; Enterobacterales; Enterobacteriaceae. The record is from RNAcentral.